GUGGAGGGCACCCUCUGCCCGUUCCCACCACCUCCCUUAACUCCUCCACCCCUGGUCGAGCCCUCCUUCCUCCUCCCUGUUCUCUCCCUGCUCUCUCUCCCUCACAGAACCGAAGUAGCUGCAGUUGAGUAGGACCACCAUCCAUCGGCGAAAUUCGAGCUCCAUGCUCAUCCGCCGACCUCGCUGGAUUUGAGGCCGCGCUGUCUCCAUUGCCGCCUCCACCCACCUCCACGUUGAACCACCAUAACACUGCUCCAUCAGCGAAAUCCCCACCACGGUGAGCUUCUACGAGCUCCCAGGGUGCUUUGGCGCGUACCGGUUUCGUUCCGUCCCGCCGCCAGCCCGUCGUGCAUCGGGAGCCUCUCCGUCGCCGAGCCGCAUCCCCGUCGCCACCCGGGUCGCCGUUGCGCUCUCCGACUGGCAAGUACCUGCAAGGGUUCUCCAUGAGAACGAAGAAUUGGAGAGCGAUAUGGGCGUGAACAAGGGCGAUCCGGACUUGUGGCUGUUAAUUGUGAAGCUGAGUAGCAAGAUAAGAAUCUAAGCAUACUCUUUCCAGUACUUUGGAUCAAUUGGGUCUAAUGUGAUAAAUUAUGCCUUAUGUAUGUUUGCAUGAUAAUGAAUCAAGUGUCGGGUUGAUAUGGGUAGAUCUUAUUUGUUGGAUUGCCCUAUCUUGAUGUUGUUUAUCGCUUGAUCCGUUGUAACAUGGGUUGUUUAUGUAUCAUGAUCAAGUGUAAAAUUUUAGCAAUGUGCUUAGCAAUGCUUAGGUCUUUCAGUAGAAGUCGAGCGGUGGUUCAACCUCCGUUCGCGAGCUUAGGGCUUAUUUACUUGUUCACAAAAGAAUGAUAAUAUUGUUGGGGUGGAUGUGUUUUGAGGAUGAGGUGAGAUGUGGGUGGUGCU
Phragmites australis (common reed) is the source of this 897-nucleotide long non-coding RNA. RefSeq lists it as uncharacterized. Lineage: Eukaryota; Viridiplantae; Streptophyta; Magnoliopsida; Poales; Poaceae. The transcript is spliced from 3 exons. The record is from RefSeq and is a predicted model, not a curated record.